CUGUGCUCUCUGAUUUCCACAAUAGUCCUUGCGGUUGGGAGUUGUGGCAAUUUUUCAGAGGACCUUGUUCAUUAGUGGAUGAUUUGGCAGAUCAGAUAGUUGAGGUUCUAAACUAUGUUAGGAAUAGAUUACUUAUCGGUUGCAGCUCCGGAGCAACUGAUUCCCAUUGAAGUAGAAACAGACUCCACAGAGGUCCUUCACCUGUACAACAUUCACAACCUACUUACCAAACUCUUAUUACUUCAUGGGGCUGCUUGUUGAGGAGAUUAGAGAGUCUAGUGUACGACAAACUUCUGCCGGGGCAACGAAGUUGUAGAUGUUUUGGCAAAGCAAGGCAAAAGUCCAAGCAGACAAAGAUGGUUAGAAUUUAGUAAAUCAUUAUGUCUAUUUAUGUGUUGUAAUAAGUUGGCUAGUCUUGAAAGAAUGUGUAAUCACAAGCAGAGACUGUGAUAAUGUAGCUUCGACUACUGAUGUAAUGGUCUAAUAUUAGUAUAUUUCUUGUUAUCAAGAAAAAAAAAACAA
Lycium ferocissimum is the source of this 522-nucleotide long non-coding RNA. RefSeq lists it as uncharacterized. The transcript has 2 exons. The record is from RefSeq and is a predicted model, not a curated record. NCBI's taxonomy places the organism in Eukaryota, Viridiplantae, Streptophyta, Magnoliopsida, Solanales, Solanaceae.